CUUUCUUUGCUGGCGACCGGCGCACGGGUGAGUAACACGUAUCCAACCUGCCCUUUACUCGGGGAUAGCCUUUCGAAAGAAAGAUUAAUACCCGAUAGCAUAAUGAUUCCGCAUGGUUUCAUUAUUAAAGGAUUCCGGUAAAGGAUGGGGAUGCGUUCCAUUAGGUUGUUGGUGAGGUAACGGCCCACCAAGCCUUCGAUGGAUAGGGGUUCUGAGAGGAAGGUCCCCCACAUUGGAACUGAGACACAGUCCAA
Molecule: ribosomal RNA, 254 nt
Filed under: uncultured bacterium
Lineage: Bacteria
Description: partial 16S ribosomal RNA
Rfam family: Bacterial small subunit ribosomal RNA
Source: RNAcentral